CCUACGGGUGGCAGCAGUGGGGAAUAUUGGUCAAUGGGCGCGAGCCUGAACCAGCCAAGUAGCGUGAAGGAUGACUGCCCUACGGGUUGUAAACUUCUUUUAUAAAGGAGUGAAGUAGGGCACGUGUGCCUUUUUGUAUGUACUUUAUCAAUAAGGAUCGGCUAACUCCGUGCCAGCAGCCCCGGUAAUACGGGGGAUCCGAGCGUUAUCCGGUUUUAUUGGGUUUAAGGGAACGUAGAUGGGUUGUUAAGUCAGUUGUGAAAGUUUGCGGCUUAACCGUAAAAUUGCAAUGGAUACUGGCAGUCUUGAGUACAGUUGAGGUAGGCGAAAUUCGUGGUGUAGCGGUGAAAUGCGUAGAUAUCACGAAGAACUCCGAUUGCGAAGGCAGCUUACUAAACUGCCACUGACAUUGAGGCUCGAAAGUGUGGGUAUCAAACAGGAUUAGAUACCCCAGUAGUC
RNAcentral lists this ribosomal RNA (459 nucleotides) under uncultured bacterium. Its description in RNAcentral is "partial 16S ribosomal RNA". It matches the Rfam family "Bacterial small subunit ribosomal RNA", at positions 338 to 795 of the family's 1533-position model. The record is from RNAcentral.